UAGAGUUUGAUCCUGGCUCAGAUUGAACGCUGGCGGCAUGCCUAACACAUGCAAGUCGAACGGCAGCACAGGUAGCAAUACCGGGUGGCGAGUGGCGGACGGGUGAGGAAUACAUCGGGACCUGCCCAGACGUGGGGGAUAACGUAGGGAAACUUACGCUAAUACCGCAUACGUCCUACGGGAGAAAGCGGGGGAUCUUCGGACCUCGCGCGGUUGGAUGGACCGAUGUUCGAUUAGCUAGUUGGUGAGGUAAUGGCUCACCAAGGCGACGAUCGAUAGCUGGUCUGAGAGGAUGAUCAGCCACACUGGGACUGAGACACGGCCCAGACUCCUACGGGAGGCAGCAGUGGGGAAUAUUGGACAAUGGGCGCAAGCCUGAUCCAGCAAUGCCGCGUGUGUGAAGAAGGCCUUCGGGUUGUAAAGCACUUUUAUCAGGAGCGAAAUACUACGGGUUAAUACCUCGUGGGGCUGACGGUACCUGAGGAAUAAGCACCGGCUAACUUCGUGCCAGCAGCCGCGGUAAUACGAAGGGUGCAAGCGUUAAUCGGAAUUACUGGGCGUAAAGCGUGCGUAGGCGGUUUUUUAAGUCUGCUGUGAAAUCCCCGGGCUCAACCUGGGAAUGGCAGUGGAUACUGGAAAGCUAGAGUGUGAGAGAGGAUGGUGGAAUUCCCGGUGUAGCGGUGAAAUGCGUAGAGAUCGGGAGGAACAUCAGUGGCGAAGGCGGCCAUCUGGCUCAACACUGACGCUG
This 748-nucleotide ribosomal RNA is filed under the name bacterium enrichment culture clone PF-2_3. Its description in RNAcentral is "bacterial SSU rRNA". It matches the Rfam family "Bacterial small subunit ribosomal RNA", at positions 1 to 748 of the family's 1533-position model. The record is from RNAcentral.